Molecule: ribosomal RNA, 786 nt
Filed under: uncultured bacterium
Lineage: Bacteria
Description: bacterial SSU rRNA
Rfam family: Bacterial small subunit ribosomal RNA
Source: RNAcentral
UUUGUAGCAAUACGGAGCUUCUCAGUGGCGAACGGGCGAGUAACGAGUUGGUGACCUGCCCCGAAGUGUGGGAUAACAGUCCGAAAGGAUUGCUAAUACCGCAUGUGAUCAUCGGUUUUAGAAUCUGAUGAUUAAAGCAGUAAUGCGCUUCGGGAGGGACCUGCUUCCCAUCAGCUAGUUGGUGAGGUAAUGGCCCACCAAGGCUACGACGGGUAAGGGACCUGAGAGGGUGGUCCCUCGCAAUGGCACUGAAACACGGGCCAUACACCUACGGGUGGCAGCAGUAGGGAAUAUUGGGCAAUGGGCGAAAGCCUGACCCAGCAACGCCGCGUGCACGAUGAAGGCCUUCGGGUCGUAAAGUGCUUUUCUGAGGGAUGAGUAAGGACAGUACCUCAGGAAUAAGCCUCGGCUAACUACGUGCCAGCAGCCGCGGUAAAACGUAGGAGGCGAGCGUUAUCCGGAUUUACUGGGCGUAAAGCGUGUGUAGGCGGUUCGGCAAGUUGGAUGUGAAAGCUCCUGGCUUAACUAGGAGAGGUCGUUCAAUACUACCAAACUUGAGGGCAUCAGAGGAAGGUGGAAUUCCCGGUGUAGUGGUGAAAUGCGUAGAUAUCGGGAGGAACACCAGUGGCGAAAGCGGCCUUCUGGGAUGCUCCUGACGCUCAGACACGAAAGCUAGGGUAGCGAACGGGAUUAGAGACCCCGGUAGUCCUAGCAGUAAACGAUGUAGACUUGGUGUCGGAGGUGUCAAAACCUUCGGUAUCGUAGCUAACGCGAUAAGUCUACCGC